This 180-nucleotide ribosomal RNA is filed under the name Sibiraea laevigata. RNAcentral's name for it is "5.8S ribosomal RNA". The stretch from base 1 to 77 matches the Rfam family "5.8S ribosomal RNA", at positions 80 to 154 of the family's 154-position model. The record is from RNAcentral. Lineage: Eukaryota; Viridiplantae; Streptophyta; Magnoliopsida; Rosales; Rosaceae. RNAcentral also lists the same sequence under 1 other name.
UCCCGUGAACCAUCGAGUCUUUGAACGCAAGUUGCGCCCGAAGCCGUCAGGCCGAGGGCACGCCUGCCUGGGCGUCACACGCCGUUGCCCCCCCGCGCCUCUCUCGGGAGCGAUUGCGGGGGGACGGAUGAUGGCCUCCCGUGCGCUCCGUCGCGCGGUUGGCAUAAAUGCCGAGUCCCC